Molecule: ribosomal RNA, 492 nt
Filed under: uncultured bacterium
Lineage: Bacteria
Description: partial 16S ribosomal RNA
Rfam family: Bacterial small subunit ribosomal RNA
Source: RNAcentral
AGUGAACGCUGGCGGUAGGCCUAACACAUGCAAGUCGAACGGCAGCACAGUAAGAGCUUGCUCUUACGGGUGGCGAGUGGCGGACGGUUGAGGAAUACAUCGGAAUCUACUUUUUCGUGGGGGAUAACGUAGGGAAACUUACGCUAAUACCGCAUACGACCUACGGGUGAAAGCAGGGGAUCUUCGGACCUUGCGCGAUUGAAUGAGCCGAUGUCGGAUUAGCUAGUUGGCGGGGUAAAGGCCCACCAAGGCGACGAUCCGUAGCUGGUCUGAGAGGAUGAUCAGCCACACUGGAACUGAGACACGGUCCAGACUCCUACGGGAGGCAGCAGUGGGGAAUAUUGGACAAUGGGCGCAAGCCUGAUCCAGCCAUACCGCGUGGGUGAAGAAGGCCUUCGGGUUGUAAAGCCCUUUUGUUGGGAAAGAAAAGCAGCAGGUUAAUACCCCGCUGUUAUGACGGUACCCAAAGAAUAAGCACCGGCUAACUUCGUG